Molecule: long non-coding RNA, 443 nt
Filed under: Homo sapiens (human)
Lineage: Eukaryota; Metazoa; Chordata; Mammalia; Primates; Hominidae
Description: non-protein coding lnc-CEP170-13:7
Source: RNAcentral
GUAGAGGUGGCCUGCACUCCUCAGCUUGUGCUGCCCGUCUCGAAUGACUGGAGUUUCCUGCUUCUGUCACUACACCUCCCACCCUCUCCCAUCACCUGCUCUGCUCUUACAAGGAUCCGAAGAAAUGGAAUAAUCGUAUCGCUGAUCUAUGUAAACAAAUUGAAGAAUUGUCUGAAAGAAAAUAUGACAUGAACUUAUGAAUUCAACAGGUGAAGAUUUACAACUUGAUAAAUCAGCUUUGUGAGCUCGAGCUGUAAAAGCCAAAGGUCCGGUGAUGAUCCCAUACCCUUUUUUCCAGUCUCAUGUUGAAGAUUUUUAUGUAGAAGGCCUUCCCAAAGGAAUUUUUUUUUUUUUUUUGAGAUGGAGUUUUCACUCUUAUCGCCCAGGCUGGGGGGCAAUGGCGCAACCUUGCUGGUCACUGCAACCUCUGCCUCCUGGGUUCA